This 6366-nucleotide unclassified non-coding RNA is filed under the name Apis dorsata (giant honeybee). RNAcentral's name for it is "rho GTPase-activating protein 32, transcript variant X3". Lineage: Eukaryota; Metazoa; Arthropoda; Insecta; Hymenoptera; Apidae. The record is from RNAcentral.
AGUAUUCAUUCUUCUUCCAGUCAAGACGCGAGGAUCAGGUUAGGCAGGUCGGAUUGACAGUAGAGAGCGGAAACGGCAUUUUGUUGGAACUUGUAAAUGAAGGUUAACUUUGUCGCGAACUUAGUGAAGUCUGUGGACAAGAUCGAAGGCAAUGCCACAGCAAAACUGUCAACAAGAUCUCCGUAUUGGUUUACAAGUCUCGCGGUGAAUUAACCAGGGACAAACAUGGCUCGCGUUCCGGCAGACGUGUGUUUUUCUUCGUGGUGAACCUACCUCUUUCUCUCUCGUUCCUUGUCCCUGCCUCUGUUUCGCCAGGCAGGGAUUCUCAACUUCGGGAGUGGUAAUAUUCACGCAAGUACGUAAUGCAUACACCUAUUGUAAUGUGCGUAUCAUACGGCUUAACGUAUAUUAAUAUACACACGGUAAGGGAAGAGGAGCUUCCCUCUUGUUAGUAUGCAAGUGCCGUUUCGAUGCCCCUUACGUGGCCUUAUUUGCACUCGUGUACAAUCGGCGCGCGAAACGAAUCAAAAUGACCGUUCUCCUUUUCGCAUGAUUUUUUUUGGAAUAUAUGCUUAACCCAUAAGAACGUGAAAGAGGAAUAAUGGUUCAAUCGAGAGGAAAGUAAAAUCCUGCCGUCAUCCUGGCGCGUGGCAAACCAGGCCAAAGGCCUGGAUCCUCAUCCUCCUCGUCCUCGUCCACGGAGAGGUUGCAAAGGAUGCCAGGACCGGCACAAGAGAGGCCCCGUGCGCAACGACUCACCGAUAUCGAGCCUCAAACUGCAAAAGGAUUAGGAUGUAAUCGAACGGACGAUUUCAGUACACCAAUCAGCUCUGGCAGCAACAUGAGCAGUAUAGCAAGGUUUCCAAAAUUGGACGAGUGUGCCCACUUUCAUUACGAACAUGUUGAACUCAGUUCUUUGGAGGUUUCGCUUAGCGAGGGUACCAAUGAUUCAGACAGCUACGCGGUCAGAGUAACAUCCGGGGACGCAUGCUGGACGUUGCAGCGAUCAUACGAUAAUUUUGUUAUGUUCGACAAGCAAUUGCAUCGGUGCAUAUUCGACAGGAAGUUCUCUUCCUUAACCAAGCUUCCAGAUACACGGCCAAAAAACACCUGUGAUAUACUGAGGGACUAUUUGAACAGGUUCUCCCAGUUAAAUCAUGAAGGCCUAAAUUGCGGUCCUGUGUUAAAUUGGUUGCAGCUAGACAAUAGGGGAAGAAGAAUCCUCGUCCCAGAGUCAGAUUCAUGCCCCAUUAAUACUCCUGCAGUAGCCGCGGCUUAUGCUGUUAGACCUUACGUAGCUCAGGCGCCGGAUGAAAUCUCGUUUCAGGUUGGAGAUAUGAUUUCGGUGAUAGAUAUGCCCCCUCCAGGGGAGAGUACAUGGUGGCGUGGGAAGCACGGAUUUGCAGUCGGUUUUUUCCCGGCCGAAUGUGUGGCUGUGAUCGGGGAUAAAGUGCCACGGCAUCUCACCGUGUCGACGACAGUUAGAUCAAAGUUACCCGUGAAACCGGUGCUCAGAAAGCACGGGAAGCUAAUCGCCUUUUUCAGAUCGUUUAUAUUGAAUAGACCGUCUAGAAGACGAUUGAAGCAGUCAGGAAUUCUUAAGGAACGUGUAUUUGGUUGUGAUUUAGGGGAACAUCUUUUAAAUUCUGGUCAAGAUGUGCCUACUGUUUUAACGUGCUGCGCUGAAUUCAUCGAGAAUCAUGGCCUGGUGGAUGGUAUAUAUCGUCUAAGCGGCGUGACAUCGAACAUUCAGAGAUUACGAAACGCGUUCGACGAGGAUCGUGUUCCUGCAUUGCAUUCCGAUGAAAGUAUUCUACAAGAUAUUCAUUCUGUCGCCUCGUUGUUGAAAAUGUACUUCAGAGAGCUACCGAAUCCGCUCUGUACGUACCAGCUUUAUUCCACUUUCGUUAGCGCGGUUCAAGCUAGUACCGACGCGGAAAGAUUGAGGCGGAUGAGGGAUACCGUUAGAAAAUUACCACCACCGCACUACAGAACGUUAGAAUAUCUUAUGCGACAUUUAGUGAGAGUCGCAGCUCGAGGAGCGGAGACUGGUAUGACGCCGCGUAACGUUGCGAUUGUUUGGGCUCCGAAUCUCUUAAGAUGCAAGGAAUUGGAGGUUGGGGGCGUAGCCGCGUUGCAAGGCGUCGGUGUGCAGGCUGUGGUCACGGAAUUUUUGGUCUGUUACGCCGAAUUGAUUUUCGGAGACGGCCCGGUCGGAAGGCCGAAAUCAUUGGCCAUUACAACACCGGCGAGAUUGCUUAGUUUGGAAGAGGCUCGAAAUCGUAGCCUGAGAGGUGAGCCUGAUUACGUGGAAGUGGGCGCUGGUCCAGCCGGGUUACCAUUACAUUACCAUACGGUCAUAGAAUUACCGCGAAAGAGAAAUGGCUCGAAACGUUCACCCUCGUUGAACUGGAGAGCUUUGUUCGGUCGAGGUGGUUUGGGUGCCAGAGGAAAAACAAGACAAGUUGGCACGCCACCUCAAACAGAAACGGUGCCAAGUUCCUUAAACUCCUUACGACGAUUAAGACCAGUGAAAAGCGCAGACAGUUUGGAUGGUGAGGACAGUUUAGGUCCUCUGCUGGGACCGCCACCAGCUAGACCUUGCGGGCAUAGUCGAUCAGUUUCGCAUGAUUCCUAUUUCGAUCAUUUAGCAGACGCACCGAAUACCGCGUCGCCGUUGGAUUUGUCGGAAAUACAGCUUAACUUCGACUUGGAGGAACGAGAAAUGCGAAUGUUCUCGGAGGAGGAGAGUGGGGGAGUUGCAUCGGUGGAAGCAUCUCCUCGACGGCAAAGAACGGAAGGAACGCAGAAUAUAGCCGCUACCGGUGGAUCCAAGAGGAAGAGAUCGCGAUUAGAGGAAAGACUGCAAUGCGACGUUGAGUUGCGCUUCAUUGAUAGCCAAAGUCCUGAUCAGGUGAUGGUAUCUGCAGAUAUUCAUAGCAUGGAUACUCCAUCUCCUUUGCCAACACCAGGGUACCUACCGUUAUUAUCCGAAGCUUCAACCCCGCUCACACCCGCUACACUACACGGAACACCGCAUUCUACGUCACCUGUACCAGCUAACAGUCCUAGGAUAAGUUUCCGAAGUUUCACUUUACCUUUAGAAAUCGAUGACGAACAAAGUAACGCGAAUAAACUGAACAGAACUAGCGUGUCUUCCGAUAAAUCAUCCGACCCUAGUCAUAGGUUAUCUGUAAACUUAGAAGGGCAGAGUAAUGCUAAAUCCUGUGAGAGAAUAAUGGCAUACGACAAGCACAUAGAUUUGUACGAUGAUAAAGAGCCUUCCAAGACUCAAAAGACUUCGAAGGAAACAAACUUAGUUGUAUCGGAUGUAGUCGACCAAGAAAUGAUGCCUUGCGAGAGGCUAAUGUCUCAUCCUAGCGAGAUAGACUCUAGUAAAGUAACAACGUCUAUUUGUAAGGAUAUAGAAAAUAGAUCAAGCUCGUGUCCCGUUGAAGAUAAUAAAUCUCGUAGCGGAGACACCAGAGAUACGUUGGACGUGCGAAAACACGAUGUACCGAUGAACAAAUCGAUCGUUUCGCAAAACGACGAUUUGGCUGCUAUGGCUGGAAAUUCAAACGCACAUAGGAACGAAUUACCAGGACUGCCAUUAUCCAGCGCAACAGAUCUCGAUUCUCCGAUGUCAUGCGAACAAACGAUCGAGGAUUUGCCCGAUUCCGGUUUUGUGAUUUGUGAUAACUCCGACAAGAUAUUUACAAACACAGAAACAUCACAGAUGAUAUCCAACACUAACGAUUCCGGUGAGUGGGUGAUAGUAGAGACAACCGGUUCGAUUACGACACCUACGAGCGAAUCAAGUAGCUCUAAGGAUCCUUUAGAAGGCACCGUGAAUAAUGCGAUUGCAACGGAUGCACCGCAACUAAGAUCGAUAUCGGAAAAUGUUUCCAGAACUUCUUUGGAUCUCACUAUGGGUUCAACUGUGGAUACUGAUACGUCUUGCAUCGGCGUCAGUGACUUGACCGAAAGUCCCGUUCUUCCUCAGGAAUCGGCUGAAAUGACAUUCGACGUUGCUGAUAAUAGAGAACUCGAGGAACAUGAUGUUAACACGGUACAAAGAACUUCUAGAGUUUUCGAUGAUCAAACAAAUUUUGGAGUGGUUGAUUCUGGGAAUAAUUUUUCAAAUAUCGUGCAUUCGCCUGUACAAGAUCAAGAUAAUGGAAAUCAGAAGAUACGUACCGUUAGUAUGGCGGAUAUUCAUUUAAAUCAAAAAUCUAAUGAAAUGGAGCAUGAAAACAACGCUUGUUACACGCAAUUAGAUAACACUAAAGCGUUCAAUAGAAAUGAGAAUCCAGUGAAGGAACAGAUUCUCGUAGAAGAAGAAACUUUUGCAAAUUCUCAACGAUCCUCAAAAAGUCUCGAUUUUCAACAACAAGAAAUUCGACGUUCGUUGCAGUUACAUCAGAAACCACAAUUUCAGGCAAGUGACCGCUGCUCGUUCCCCAAUCAAUCAAAGAAGAGUCAAAAUCUUGAUUUAUCUUUAACUAAUGUUGAUAACAACAAGCAACGUUGUCAAAAUCAAAAAUCAGAAAAGUGCCAAAGUUUUGAAUAUGUUUCGCCAAAGGAAUCGACCCAGAACGGUCAACAGCACAAACAAUUUUCCUCGCGUGCUGAAGAAUCAUUGAAAUGCAAUAACGUGAAGAACAGCCAAUUACAAGAGCACAUUGAAGUGGUAAUACCAUCGGAGAAUGCGGCAGAACCUAGUGAGAUAGCUCAUCCUCCAGAAGGUGCAUCCGAGACAACAUCCUUAAACUCAUCGUGUACUUUUUCAAAUACAUCUUCUCCGGUGGAUGAUUCUAUCGUUCUUCGAGACACGGCUGCUAUACUUCAAGAAUUAGCUUUGCAAAGGUUAUCUGGAGGUAUUGUGGGAGAUUUAUCCCUCCCACCAAGAAGAAGAUACGAAGCGGAAAGUAACAAGGAUCGAAGAAGCUUUGAUUCUGAAAUCGGUAGGGAAAUUGUACGUGAGCGAAAAAUGAAGCAAGAAUUGGAUUCUGCUCGGGGAAAGUCGGAAGAACCACCGGUAAAUAAUACUCAACACUUGCCACCAUGUUUGAGAGCUCGUCACGCGAGGGCGACACGAGCAUCGCUCAGUCGAUCUUUAGACGAAGCAAAAUUCAAUAAGAUGACGGAGGAAGCAUCUUUACCAGUAAAACAGGUUACAGAGGACGCGCAGCACAGUUCUACGCCUAAUGUUGGAACAGGUUCGAACGCUACGUCGAGUAGUUCUGAUAAAACGCAUUUAAAGAAUCUUGGGUUAGAUCUUGGCGAUCCUCAGUGUAGAGAAAGGAUAGAAAAGUACAAAGAAGAAAGGAGGACAUUCUUAAGGGAUAAAUACAGAUCGGAAAGCUUUCGAGGAAUGUUAUCGAAGACGGAAGAUGAUGGGGAACAAGCGCUUUUGGCUAGGUUAAAGCAGAGAGCUUCUAGACCCUCCCUUCAUUGAUAUUAAAGUAAUAUUUAUGGAAAUGUUCUGUCAAGUUUUUCCUGCGUUGAAUAAACGGCUCUGCAAUCGCGUCGCAUGAUGAACUAUGAUAUAUACUAUUCCAGUGAUCUAUUCGUUGUACCGAUCAUCGCAUUUAACCCUUUGUUCUCAACGACGUUCAAAUUUUAUUGAGUUUGUGCAUUCGAUGUAAAGAAGAGCCUAACUUGAAAUCAAGAUUACUAGAGGACCGAAUAUUUUUUUAAGGAUAACAUUGAAAAAUUUUAUCUCUUAAAUAGGAAAGUAUAAUUUAUUAAACUGAUAGAGUUUUAUAAAUUGCAUCACGUACAAUAUCCUUUAGUUUAUAUUUCCUUUUGCAUUUACUUCUUUUUUUUUCUUUCAUUUUUUUUCAUCAUAAUUUUUACCAUUUUUUUUAGGAAUUGCCGUUCUUGCAAAUGAUGAUCUAUUAUGGAUUUACACUUUUUAUUCUCAGUGUUCGCAUUUAUCUUUGAUUAGCAGUUUUAUCAUAUUUUUCUUCUCUCGAAUAACUUGUAUUAUUACUAUAAUUUACUAUUUAAGAAUUUAGCAUUUAUUAAGAUUUAUUUACAAACUGAAAAGUAUCCAGUCAUAUCGUAGACCGGAUGUAGAAACGUUGGAAGAUCGUUAAGUCUUUUUUCUGAAGUCACACGAUCAUGGUUCCCUCUUUUUCCAACAAAUAAGGAUAAUCCAAACACCAGAAGAAUAAAUUGUCUCUCUUAGACAUUAUGAUAAUAAUUUAUAAUAAUUCAUCCAGCAUCAUCGUCAUGAAUCAAUGAAUUUAGUAACAAAUCUAUAGAAGUCACAAGUCAUCUUUUUAAUAUUUCGAUCUCUGCCCGAAUCAAAAUAGUCUCGGGGAAUCAUCAAUUUGUGAUCCUGAAAAUGCUCAAAAAAAA